This 550-nucleotide ribosomal RNA is filed under the name uncultured bacterium. RNAcentral's name for it is "partial 16S ribosomal RNA". It matches the Rfam family "Bacterial small subunit ribosomal RNA", at positions 355 to 895 of the family's 1533-position model. The record is from RNAcentral.
UGGGGAAUAUUGCACAAUGGGCGCAAGCCUGAUGCAGCCAUGCCGCGUGUGUGAAGAAGGCCUUCGGGUUGUAAAGCACUUUCAGCGAGGAGGAAGGUGGUGAGCUUAAUACGCUCAUCAAUUGACGUUACUCGCAGAAGAAGCACCGGCUAACUCCGUGCCAGCAGCCGCGGUAAUACGGAGGGUGCAAGCGUUAAUCGGAAUUACUGGGCGUAAAGCGCACGCAGGCGGUUUGUUAAGUCAGAUGUGAAAUCCCCGGGCUCAACCUGGGAACUGCAUUUGAAACUGGCAAGCUAGAGUCUCGUAGAGGGGGGUAGAAUUCCAGGUGUAGCGGUGAAAUGCGUAGAGAUCUGGAGGAAUACCGGUGGCGAAGGCGGCCCCCUGGACGAAGACUGACGCUCAGGUGCGAAAGCGUGGGGCAGCAAACAGGAUUAGAUACCCUGGUAGUCCACGCUGUAAAACGAUGUCGAUUUGGAGGUUGUGCCCUUGAGGCGUGGCUUCCGGAGCUAACGCGUUAAAUCGACCGCCUGGGGAGUACUGCCGCAAGGUU